This 253-nucleotide ribosomal RNA is filed under the name uncultured bacterium. RNAcentral describes it as "partial 16S ribosomal RNA". It matches the Rfam family "Bacterial small subunit ribosomal RNA", at positions 524 to 776 of the family's 1533-position model. The record is from RNAcentral.
UACGAAGGGUGCAAGCGUUACUCGGAAUUACUGGGCGUAAAGCGUGCGUAGGUGGUUUUUUAAGUCCGCUGUGAAAGCCCUGGGCUCAACCUGGGAAUGGCAGUGGAUACUGGAAAGCUAGAGUGCGGUAGAGGGUAGUGGAAUUCCCGGUGUAGCAGUGAAAUGCGUAGAGAUCGGGAGGAACACCAGUGGCGAAGGCGGCUACCUGGACCAGCACUGACACUGAGGCACGAAAGCGUGGGGAGCAAACAGG